GCCUAAAGCGUCCGUAGCCGGCUCUGUAAGUUUUCGGUUAAAUCUGUACGCUCAACGUACAGGCUGCUGGAAAUACUGCAGAGCUAGGGAGUGGGAGAGGUAGACGGUACUCGGGAGGAAGUGGUAAAAUGCUUUGAUCUCUCGAUGACCACCUGUGGCGAAGGCGGUCUACCAGAACACGUCCGACGGUGAGGGAUGAAAGCUGGGGGAGCAAACCGGAUUAGAUACCCGGGUAGUCCCAGCUGUAAACUAUGCAAACUCAGUGAUGCGUUGGCUUAUGGCCAGCGCAGUGUUGCAGGGAAGCCGUUAAGUUUGCCGCCUGGGAAGUACGUACGCAAGUAUGAAACUUAAAGGAAUUGGCGGGGGAGCACCACAAGGGGUGAAGCCUGCGGUUCAAUUGGAGUCAACGCCAGAAAUCUUACCCGGAGAGACAGCAGAAUGAAGGUCAAGCUGAAGACUUUACCAGACAAGCUGAGAGGUGGUGCAUGGCCGUCGCCAGCUCGUGCCGUGAGAUGUCCUGUUAAGUCAGGUAACGAGCGAGAUCCCUGCCUCUAGUUGCCACCAUUACUCUCAGGAGUAGUGGGGCGAAUUAGCGGGACCGCCGCAGUUAAUGCGGAGGAAGGAAGGGGCCACGGCAGGUCAGUAUGCCCCGAA
This 654-nucleotide ribosomal RNA is filed under the name uncultured archaeon. RNAcentral's name for it is "bacterial SSU rRNA". It matches the Rfam family "Archaeal small subunit ribosomal RNA", at positions 508 to 1160 of the family's 1478-position model. The record is from RNAcentral.